GGUGGCGAUAGGAGAGGGGUCACACCCGUUCCCAUGCCGAACACGGUAGUUAAGCCCUCUACCGCCGAUGGUA
This 73-nucleotide ribosomal RNA is filed under the name uncultured Acidobacteria bacterium HF4000_26D02. Lineage: Bacteria; Pseudomonadati; Acidobacteriota. The record is from RNAcentral.